This is a long non-coding RNA of Oncorhynchus tshawytscha (Chinook salmon), 713 nucleotides long. The record is from Ensembl. NCBI's taxonomy places the organism in Eukaryota, Metazoa, Chordata, Actinopteri, Salmoniformes, Salmonidae.
UCAGAAACAUAUUGUUGAAGGAGGUAAGGACGGAUCUGGAGAGGUUUUUCCUCAGACUGGGGGGGAGAUGCCUGGUAUGAGUGAUGGGGUACAGGAGGGGGUCCAGGUGGGGCUAGUCUCCCAUGUAGUGGAGGAGAUGCCUGGUACUAGUGAUGAGGUAUAGGAGGGGGUUCAGGUGGAGCUAGUCUCCCAGGUAGUGGAGGAGAUGGUACUAGUGAUGGGGAACAGGAGGGGGUCCAGGUGGGGCUAGUCUCCCAUGUAGUGGAGGAGAUGCCUGGUAUGAGUGAUGGGGUACAGGAGGGGGUUCAGGUGGAGCUAGUCUCCCAGGUAGUGGAGGAGAUGGUUCUAGUGAUGAGGUAUAGGAGGGGGUUCAGGUGGAGCUAGUCUCCCAGGUAGUGGAGGAGAUGCCUGGUACUAGUGAUGGGGAACAGGAGGGGGUUCAGGUGGAGCUAGUCUCCCAGGUAGUGGAGGAGAUGGUACUAGUGAUGGGGUACAGGAGGGGGUUCAGGUGGGGCUAGUCUCCCAUGUAGUGGAGGAGAUGGUACUAGUGAUGGGGUACAGGAGGGGGUCCAGGUGGGGCUAGUUUCCCAGGUAGUGGAGGAGAUGCCUGGUAUGAGUGAUAGGGUACAGGAGGGGGUUCAGGUGGAGCUAGUCUCCCAUGUAGUGGAGGAGAUGCCUGGUACUAGUGAUGGGGUACAGGAGGGGGUUCAGGU